This 254-nucleotide ribosomal RNA is filed under the name uncultured bacterium. RNAcentral's name for it is "partial 16S ribosomal RNA". It matches the Rfam family "Bacterial small subunit ribosomal RNA", at positions 524 to 776 of the family's 1533-position model. The record is from RNAcentral.
UACGUAGGUGGCGAGCGUUGUCCGGAUUUAUUGGGUUUAAAGGGUGCGUAGGCGGCUUUGUAAGUCAGUGGUGAAAUACUCCAGCUUAACUGGAGGGGUGCCAUUGAUACUGCGGAGCUUGAGUACAGAUGAGGUAGGCGGAAUUCCUGGUGUAGCGGUGAAAUGCGCAGAUAUCAGGAGGAACACCGGUGGCGAAGGCGGUUCUCUGGGCCUUACCUGACGCUGAGGAGCGAAAGCGUGGGGGAGCAAACAGG